This 1372-nucleotide ribosomal RNA is filed under the name uncultured bacterium. Its description in RNAcentral is "bacterial SSU rRNA". It matches the Rfam family "Bacterial small subunit ribosomal RNA", at positions 28 to 1381 of the family's 1533-position model. The record is from RNAcentral.
GAUGAACGCUGGCGGCGUGCCUAAUACAUGCAAGUCGAGCGAACGGACGAGAAGCUUGCUUCUCUGAUGUUAGCGGCGGACGGGUGAGUAACACGUGGAUAACCUACCUAUAAGACUGGGAUAACUUCGGGAAACCGGAGCUAAUACCGGAUAAUAUUUUGAACCGCAUGGUUCAAAAGUGAAAGACGGUCUUGCUGUCACUUAUAGAUGGAUCCGCGCUGCAUUAGCUAGUUGGUAAGGUAACGGCUUACCAAGGCAACGAUGCAUAGCCGACCUGAGAGGGUGAUCGGCCACACUGGAACUGAGACACGGUCCAGACUCCUACGGGAGGCAGCAGUAGGGAAUCUUCCGCAAUGGGCGAAAGCCUGACGGAGCAACGCCGCGUGAGUGAUGAAGGUCUUCGGAUCGUAAAACUCUGUUAUUAGGGAAGAACAUAUGUGUAAGUAACUGUGCACAUCUUGACGGUACCUAAUCAGAAAGCCACGGCUAACUACGUGCCAGCAGCCGCGGUAAUACGUAGGUGGCAAGCGUUAUCCGGAAUUAUUGGGCGUAAAGCGCGCGUAGGCGGUUUUUUAAGUCUGAUGUGAAAGCCCACGGCUCAACCGUGGAGGGUCAUUGGAAACUGGAAAACUUGAGUGCAGAAGAGGAAAGUGGUAUUCCAUGUGUAGCGGUGAAAUGCGCAGAGAUAUGGAGGAACACCAGUGGCGAAGGCGACUUUCUGGUCUGUAACUGACGCUGAUGUGCGAAAGCGUGGGGAUCAAACAGGAUUAGAUACCCUGGUAGUCCACGCCGUAAACGAUGAGUGCUAAGUGUUAGGGGGUUUCCGCCCCUUAGUGCUGCAGCUAACGCAUUAAGCACUCCGCCUGGGGAGUACGACCGCAAGGUUGAAACUCAAAGGAAUUGACGGGGACCCGCACAAGCGGUGGAGCAUGUGGUUUAAUUCGAAGCAACGCGAAGAACCUUACCAAAUCUUGACAUCCUUUGACAACUCUAGAGAUAGAGCUUUCCCCUUCGGGGGACAAAGUGACAGGUGGUGCAUGGUUGUCGUCAGCUCGUGUCGUGAGAUGUUGGGUUAAGUCCCGCAACGAGCGCAACCCUUAAGCUUAGUUGCCAUCAUUAAGUUGGGCACUCUAAGUUGACUGCCGGUGACAAACCGGAGGAAGGUGGGGAUGACGUCAAAUCAUCAUGCCCCUUAUGAUUUGGGCUACACACGUGCUACAAUGGACAAUACAAAGGGCAGCGAAACCGCGAGGUCAAGCAAAUCCCAUAAAGUUGUUCUCAGUUCGGAUUGUAGUCUGCAACUCGACUACAUGAAGCUGGAAUCGCUAGUAAUCGUAGAUCAGCAUGCUACGGUGAAUACGUUCCCGGGUCU